GCAUUAAUGGGGUAGUGGUAACCUGGGUCGUUGCCAUCCGGACUUUCGUAAUCCAAAGUUCGACCCGCCGGGGGUUCGAUUCCCUCUUAAUGCA
This is a non-coding RNA of Mycena capillaripes, 94 nucleotides long. The record is from the annotation of a GenBank genome assembly. Lineage: Eukaryota; Fungi; Basidiomycota; Agaricomycetes; Agaricales; Mycenaceae.